This 607-nucleotide ribosomal RNA is filed under the name uncultured bacterium. Its description in RNAcentral is "bacterial SSU rRNA". The stretch from base 1 to 536 matches the Rfam family "Bacterial small subunit ribosomal RNA", at positions 338 to 873 of the family's 1533-position model. The record is from RNAcentral.
CCUACGGGAGGCAGCAGUAGGGAAUAUUGGGCAAUGGAGGCAACUCUGACCCAGCCAUGCCGCGUGCAGGAAGACGGUCCUCUGGAUUGUAAACUGCUUUUGAAUGGGAAGAAUGUGCUCCUUGCGAGGGGUAAUGACGGUACCAUUAGAAUAAGCCACGGCUAACUACGUGCCAGCAGCCGCGGUAAUACGUAGGUGGCGAGCGUUAUCCGGAUUUAUUGGGUUUAAAGGGUGCGUAGGCGGCUUAAUAAGUCGGUGGUUAGAGGUAGCAGCUUAACUGUUUUACAUGCCAUCGAUACUGUUGAGCUUGAGAUAUUUGGAGGCAGCUAGAAUUUCCGGUGUAGCGGUGAAAUGCAUAGAUACCGGAAGGAAUACCAAUUGCGAAGGCAGGUUGCUACGAAUAAAACUGACGCUGAUGCACGAAAGCGUGGGGAUCAAACAGGAUUAAGAUACCCUGGUAGUCCACGCCGUAAACGAUGAUUACUAGUUGUUGGGUUUAAGCCUCAGUGACCAAGGGAAACCGAUAAGAAUCCACCGNGGAGAGCGCGACGUAAGAAGUANAAGAAGUAGUUAGAGNGNGAGNGNGACGACGAGACGAGAGGAGGAG